This 253-nucleotide ribosomal RNA is filed under the name uncultured bacterium. RNAcentral's name for it is "partial 16S ribosomal RNA". It matches the Rfam family "Bacterial small subunit ribosomal RNA", at positions 524 to 776 of the family's 1533-position model. The record is from RNAcentral.
UACGGAGGGUGCAAGCGUUAUCCGGAUUUACUGGGUUUAAAGGGUGUGUAGGCGGACUUUUAAGUCAGGGGUGAAAUCCCGGAGCUCAACUCCGGAACUGCCUUUGAUACUAUUAGUCUUGAAUAUUGUUGAGGUGGGCGGAACGGGUCAUGUAGCGGUGAAAUGCAUAGAUAUGACCCGGAACACCGAUUGCGAAGGCAGCCCGCUAAGCAAUGAUUGACGCUGAGGCACGAAAGCGUGGGGAUCAAACAGG